AUGCACAAAGCAGAAAAGCUCUCCUGAGCCAAAAAGAGAAGCCUGUUGCCUAAUUUCUUUUAGCCCCUGCCUCUGGGGGCUUAGCUUUUCUGUAUGAGUGCUUGAACACAUCUGCGCUGAGAUUCUGCUCUGCACCAGAUAAGAAAACUGAGAUUUAAGAGUCACUUCCCCAAGGAGAGCUAGGUAACACGCGGCCGAGCUGGGAGGAGCUGGGCAGUCUUACCCCCGAGUCCUGCUGGGAACGCUCCCACACACCUUCUGGCAUGUGAAGAGGCUGCUACAAUGUGUGGUUUUGUGUGUUCUAUGGAGUGUGGAAGCAAUUCUGACAGAAGGCAGGGGGAGAGGAAAGGAAAGACAACGGCAGGACCGCUUCCCAAAGGAGGAGUCAAUGACCCUGAGAUGUGAAGGCUGAGCAGGAUGUGGCCAGGUGAAAAGCUGGACGCAAGGAGACACUCUUUGAGUUAAGUGAGCAGCAUUUAUACUUUCCGGAAGAGAAAGGCUUCAAGGAAAUGCAGGAAGUUCAGAGGAGCACUUGGUUAUCUGUGUCAACCAAGGAAACAGGAAUGAAGUCUGGAGUGGCAUGUAUCAAAAUGUUAACAUCGGUUGUCUGAAUAAAGGCAUGUUAGUUGAU
This is a long non-coding RNA of Suricata suricatta (meerkat), 631 nucleotides long. RefSeq lists it as uncharacterized. The record is from RefSeq and is a predicted model, not a curated record. The transcript has 3 exons. NCBI's taxonomy places the organism in Eukaryota, Metazoa, Chordata, Mammalia, Carnivora, Herpestidae.